This 339-nucleotide ribosomal RNA is filed under the name Triticum aestivum (bread wheat). RNAcentral describes it as "partial small subunit ribosomal RNA". The record is from RNAcentral. Lineage: Eukaryota; Viridiplantae; Streptophyta; Magnoliopsida; Poales; Poaceae.
AUGAUCUAUUACCCAAUCAUAUUAGGAAUAUUAAGAAGCAUUGAUCAGUGUAUUCUGAACUUACUAGAAAUUGUUAGAACUAGUAGUAUUAUCAUAGUUACUAAGGCAUCACCAAAGUGUCGUUUAGGCGUCGAGGCGGUCCUGGGUGGUGGUCAUAGCCGUUUUGUGGCGUCCAAGGCAUCGAGAAGACAUGGUAUAGUGUUGCCUGAGGCAAGGCAGGUGAUGAGGAUGCUUGUAGUGGGAGGAUGGAAAUAUAGAGCAGGAAAAUCUUUGAAGAGGGAAGUGAGAUACAUACAUACAGUAGCUAAGAAAAAAAAGGGACCUGCAACCUUAGGUUGA